AUUUGAUGAUGUGGACAUUUAUUUGUAACUCCCCAAAUCUUUCCCAAGCUUGGAAGAAUUCCUCCGUAUGCUUUUGUCUAAAAGUUUGGAUCUUGUUUCUUAAGUC
Molecule: small nucleolar RNA, 106 nt
Filed under: Thalictrum thalictroides
Lineage: Eukaryota; Viridiplantae; Streptophyta; Magnoliopsida; Ranunculales; Ranunculaceae
Description: Plant small nucleolar RNA R71
Rfam family: Plant small nucleolar RNA R71
About the family: R71 is a member of the C/D box family of snoRNAs containing the C (UGAUGA) and D (CUGA) box motifs. Multiple nearly identical copies of this snoRNA have been identified in Arabidopsis, and it is thought to function as a 2'-O-ribose methylation guide for 18S ribosomal RNA.
Source: Rfam by way of RNAcentral